RNAcentral lists this ribosomal RNA (253 nucleotides) under uncultured bacterium. RNAcentral describes it as "partial 16S ribosomal RNA". It matches the Rfam family "Bacterial small subunit ribosomal RNA", at positions 524 to 776 of the family's 1533-position model. The record is from RNAcentral.
UACAGAGGUCCCAAGCGUUGUUCGGAUUCACUGGGCGUAAAGGGUGCGUAGGUGGUCGGGAUAGUCCAAUGUGAAAUCUCCGAGCCCAACUCGGAAACGGCGUUGGAGACAUCACGACUUGAGGUUUGGAGGGGGGGCUGGAAUUCUCGGUGUAGCAGUGAAAUGCGUAGAUAUCGAGAGGAACACCAGUGGCGAAGGCGAGUCCCUAGACAACACCUGACACUGAGGCACGAAAGCUAGGGGAGCAAACAGG